UUGGGGGAAAAAUUAAAUAAAUAUAAGUAAGAAAAAAAUUUUUAAUAUAAAUAUUUAAUGGGGGUUAAAGUAUUUUAUAGAAAAAAAUUAAAAAAUUUAUAGUUAAAUAGUAUUGUAAAAGAAAUUUGAAAAAUUAUGAAAUAAAAAUUUAUAUAAAAGUAAAUUUUAUUUAUUGUAUCUUGGGUAUCAGAGUUUAUUAAAAUGUAAUUUUAUGAAAAAUUAUUUCGAAUUUAAAGGAGUUAAUUAAUUAAAAAAUUUAAUAUUAUAUAAUUAUUUUAAAUAAUUAAUUGGAAAUGAAAAGUUAAUCGUUUUUAAAUAUAUCUAAUUUUUUUGGAAAAAAAUUUAAUUUUAAAUUAAAUUAGUUUAAUAAUUUAUUAGUUAAUUAUUAUUAUGUUUAAUUAAAUAUUUUAGGGGAUAAGCUUUAAAUUAAAAUAUUAUAAGUUAUUAUUAUUAAUAAAAUUGAAAAUUUUAAGAUUUAUAUUUUUUAUAAAUUAUAAUUUAUUAUAAAUAAUUUCAUUUAAUUAAAAUUUAAUUUUUAUUUAAUUUUUUACAAAAAUAUAAUUUUUAAUUUGGGAAAUUUAGGAAUAAUGAUAAAAUUAGUAUAUAAUUAAUAAAUUUUUAAUAAAUUAUUAAAAUUAAUUAAAAAGAAUUCGGCAAAAAUUUAUAUUCACUUGUUUAUCAAAAACAUGUCUUUUUGAUAAUAAUUUAAAGUCUAAUCUGCCCACUGAAUAAUUUAAAGGGCUGCAGUAUAUUGACUGUACAAAGGUAGCAUAAUAAUUAGUCUUUUAAUUGAAGACUUGUAUGAAUGAUUUGAUGAGAUGUAAACUGUUUCUUUUUUAAUGAUAGAAUUUAAUUUUUUAGUUAAAAAGCUAAAAUUUUUUUAAAAGACGAGAAGACCCUAUAGAGUUUAAUUUUUUAAUUUUUAUAAGUAUUUUAUAAAAAUUAUAAUUUAUAAGAAUUAAAAAAUUUUAUUGGGGUGAUAGAAAAAUUUAAUUAACUUUUUUUAAAAAAAAAUUAACAUUGAUAUAUGAUUUUAUGAUCCAUAAUUUAUGAUUAAAAGAUUAAAUUACCUUAGGGAUAACAGCGUAAUUUUUUUUUUUAGUUCAAAUAAAAAUUAAAGUUUGCGACCUCGAUGUUGGAUUAAAAUAAAAAUUAAAUGUAAAAGUUUAAAAUUUUGAUCUGUUCGAUCAUUAAAAUCUUACAUGAUCUGAGUUCAAACCGGGGUGAGCCAGGUUGGUUUCUAUCUUUAUAAAAAUAAAAUAAUUUAGUACGAAAGGAUCAAUUAUUUUAAAUAAUUUAAUUAAAAGAAUAUUAAAAAUAUUUUUU
This 1326-nucleotide ribosomal RNA is filed under the name Aporia hippia. Its description in RNAcentral is "16S ribosomal RNA". The stretch from base 1077 to 1235 matches the Rfam family "Eukaryotic large subunit ribosomal RNA", at positions 2825 to 2984 of the family's 3401-position model. The record is from RNAcentral. Lineage: Eukaryota; Metazoa; Arthropoda; Insecta; Lepidoptera; Pieridae.